This 838-nucleotide long non-coding RNA is filed under the name Hordeum vulgare. RNAcentral's name for it is "long non-coding RNA (HVUL_LNC014318)". Lineage: Eukaryota; Viridiplantae; Streptophyta; Magnoliopsida; Poales; Poaceae. The record is from RNAcentral.
GGGGCGGACAUCGGAACCAAGUCACUUGGUUGUGUCCGGUUCCACAAACUGCACGACAAGGUUGGAAUCGUCAACAUCGUCAACAUCAAGUUUCUUCUAUAGGAUUGAGGAGAUUGUUGUAGUAAAUCCUUUAGUUAGUGCAGUCGGCAGGUGGUGUGAACAUGCAGCUGCAAGUCAAGAUAAGCUGCCUAACUAGGAUAAGAUAAGAUCUCAGGAUAAUGUCAGGAUAGAUUUUAAUGUAGUCUCUAGUCUAAGGGCAGCUAGUUGCAUGCACUACUACAUGAGCUGAUUUUCACUAGUGUGUGUAUGUUUCGAUGAUAGCAUACUGUGAGUGAUAAUAGUAGUACAGCCUAUAAGUUCCUCUGUGCUUGAGCAUUGCCGCUGCUAGUAUUGUUCGAGACUGAGAAUACUAGCUAGUGAGGAGUUUCUCGGCUGACAACACUAUCUUUUGGAGUAAACUGGGAAGUACAUUAUCUAGCUAUAAAGAUGUAAUGAAUGUGGGAACGACAGUACAAUCACUUCACAGUGCCACCAAUUUUGUUCCUAUAAAUACGACAACAGUCGCCGCAGUUGAGGAUCGAAUUGAUAGUUCAACAUGACAGUGUGGCUUUAAAACUUGACGUAGUACAUAGGUGUGGGUGUGGCAAUGGGACGCAUCGGGAAUACGUGCAAUGUGUCCAAUUCACUAAACGAUUCCUCCGUUGAGGAUCCUGGGGUGCAUUCUUCGCAUUGGUGGAUUCGCCGUGGAGCUCAACAUCUAUCCCCGAUCUCUUCCGACCCCCCGACCCCGUUGCACACUCAUUCGACGCUGGUCGGCUCCUCCACCGGCUUCCAUGUG